Molecule: small nuclear RNA, 103 nt
Organism: Dipodomys spectabilis (banner-tailed kangaroo rat)
Lineage: Eukaryota; Metazoa; Chordata; Mammalia; Rodentia; Heteromyidae
Source: RefSeq, a predicted model, not a curated record
UCGCUUUGGCAGCAAAUAUAUUAAAAUUGGAAUGAUACAGAGAAGAUUAGCAUGGCCCCCAUGCAAAGGUGACAAGCAAGUUCAUGAAGCGUUCCAUAUUUCU